This is a long non-coding RNA of Callithrix jacchus (white-tufted-ear marmoset), 412 nucleotides long. The record is from Ensembl. NCBI's taxonomy places the organism in Eukaryota, Metazoa, Chordata, Mammalia, Primates, Cebidae.
AAGUGCUUGAAUUCCAGAGACUCUAUUUUGUCAAAUGUUCUCUGGCCACUCAGAAACCUGACUACAUUUUGCUCAUUGUGGCUCUGGUUUCAGUGAUGAUGUCCUCUUUCAAAUUCAUGUUGAAACUUCUUCACUAAUGCAAAAUAUUAUGGGAUGUUGCCUGUGGGAGGUGAUUAGUGACGCAAGUUCUGCCCUCAUGAAUAAGAUGAGCACUCUUACAAAAGGGCUCCAGGCUGAGAGGAUCAGAAUCUUGCCCUUCCACCUUUCACCAUGUGAGAACACAGAAGCAAGGCGCCAUCUUGGAAGCAGAGAGCAGCUCUCAACAGACACCAAAUACAACACCUUGACCUUGGAUUUCUCAGUUCCAGCACUACUGGUUUCCACCAUGUUGGCUCACGUCUCGAACUCCUGA